Passer montanus (Eurasian tree sparrow) is the source of this 1062-nucleotide long non-coding RNA. RefSeq lists it as uncharacterized. The transcript has 2 exons. NCBI's taxonomy places the organism in Eukaryota, Metazoa, Chordata, Aves, Passeriformes, Passeridae. The record is from RefSeq and is a predicted model, not a curated record.
CAGCCGAGCUCUGCCGGCCCCGGCGGGCUCAUCCCGCUCCCGAGCCGCGGUAAUUAAUUAAUGCCGGCGGCUUGCAGCGAGGCUGAGCCCCCAGGGGCGCUCCCCGAGGCUGCGGCGGGAGCGGGACAGCGGCAACAGCUGAGACACCGCGAGCAGGGCUUGGAGGGUGCUGGUGAGUGCUGGGACAGAGCAUCCCCUCUGUCACCCUGUGGUGGAGGAUGUGACCCCCUAAAAGUGUUCCUGAACCCCGGGAUGCUGCAGGGAAGUGUCUGCCAUGGCCAACCCAACUUUUCCCAAGCAAACCCUGCAGCAGUGAUGCAAACUAGAGCAAAACGCAGCAGGAUGCAGCAUCCUGGUACCCCAAAACUGGGGUCCCUUCCAAGGGGUUACAUGGGACAUGGCAGCUCUCAUAGUCCUGGGUGAAGAAGGAAAUCCCAUGAAAUAAAAUAUAAACUUCAGAACUGCUUGAGCCAACCCAUGAACAAAUAAUUUUAAUGGUUUUUUUCAGCAGACCGUAGUUUUUUCGGAGCUCCACAGUCUCCUCUCUUUGAAGUUGGACAGAUACAGUAAACACAACAAAUAUAUGAUACAACCCAUCACAGCUGGAUUAAAAAAAAUACACAAAAAAUAUAAUACAUAAAAAAAUUGGAUUUUUAACAUUGUGGACUGACGCAGCUCUAAAAAUGGUGAUUGUAACCCUGGUAAGCUUUACAAAGUCUUUAAAAAAAUAAAACAGUACUUCAUGUGAAAUUCAUAAAUACACUGGAGGCGAACGGAGGGGCUGGGGGAGCUGAGAAAGUGUCUCUGGGAUCAUGGCUAAACCCCAGCCAGGGCUGCUGGGGGCAGCAGUCUGUGUGCGUGGGGUGCAGUGUGAGCCCUGGGCUCGGUGCAGGCACGAGGGAGGCAGGGAGGGAUGGAGGCACAAACCGGUCCAGUUAACAAAGAGCUUCGUCCCCCAUCAGGGCUGGGAGUGGGCAUGCCUGUGGUUUAUGGUGGGGGAGUUUUCUGAGUUUGCAUUCCCAGAGUUUUAGAUCAGUGAGUGAAACAGAAGGAAAAAAAAAA